GCCGGCAUCGUCUAGAGGCCUAGGACGCCACCCUUUCAAGGUGGAGACCAGGGGUUCGAAUCCCCUUGCCGGUACCA
Molecule: transfer RNA, 77 nt
Filed under: Chloroflexota bacterium
Lineage: Bacteria; Bacillati; Chloroflexota
Description: Chloroflexi bacterium (groundwater metagenome) tRNA-Glu
Rfam family: tRNA
About the family: Transfer RNA (tRNA) molecules are approximately 80 nucleotides in length. Their secondary structure includes four short double-helical elements and three loops (D, anti-codon, and T loops).
Source: RNAcentral